GAUGUUAAGAUAGCCAUGCACGUCUAAGUACAAACUAAAUGAUGGUGAAACUGCAAAUGGCUCAUUACAACGGUUAUGAUGUACCCGGGAGUUCCGAUGGAUAUUUCCAGUAACACUAGAACUAAUACAUGUCCCUGCGUUUAUUAGUUUCGCACAGUCCGUCGCUGAGUCAUGGUAAACAGUUGAUCGACUCGACGUCCCGGAACAGUUUCCGCCCCAUCAGCUUCGAUGGUUGGGUAUUGGCCUACCAUUGCAACAACGGGUAACGAGGAAUUAGGGUUUGAUUUCGGAGAGGGAGCCUGAGAAACGGCUACCACAUCUACGGAUGGCAGCAGGCGCGCAAAUUACCCAAUGCAGACACUGUGAGGUAGUGACGAGAAAUAAUAAAGCGGGACUUCUGUUUCGCUAUUAUAAUGAGGAAUAACCAAAGGUCAUUCCGAUUAGCAACUGAUGGGAAAAGUCUGGUGCCAGCAGCCGCGGUAAUACCAGCGUCAGUAGCA
Molecule: ribosomal RNA, 500 nt
Filed under: uncultured Myrionecta
Lineage: Eukaryota; Ciliophora; Litostomatea; Cyclotrichida; Mesodiniidae
Description: SSU rRNA
Rfam family: Eukaryotic small subunit ribosomal RNA
Source: RNAcentral